UCUUCAUUUCCCACACUCUCUCACCGGUUAGAGUGACGAGAGAGUGUGCGAAAUGAAGAGA
Non-coding RNA from Pristionchus pacificus, 61 nucleotides. Lineage: Eukaryota; Metazoa; Nematoda; Chromadorea; Rhabditida; Neodiplogasteridae. The record is from Rfam.